GCUGGCGGCAUGCCUAACACAUGCAAGUCGAACGAGAUCUUCGGAUCUAGUGGCGCACGGGUGAGUAACGCGUGGGAACCUACCUUUUAGUACGGGACAACGUUUGGAAACGAACGCUAAUACCGUAUACGCCCUCCGGGGGAAAGGUCAGCCGCUAAAAGAGGGGCCCGCGUCUGAUUAGCUUGUUGGUAAGGUAAUGGCUUACCAAGGCUACGAUCAGUAGCUGGUCUGAGAGGAUGAUCAGCCACACUGGGACUGAGACACGGCCCAGACUCCUACGGGAGGCAGCAGUGGGGAAUAUUGGACAAUGGAGGCAACUCUGAUCCAGCAAUGCCGCGUGUGUGAUGAAGGCCCUAGGGUUGUAAAGCACUUUCAACGGUGAAGAUGAUGACGGUAGCCGUAGAAGAAGCCCCGGCUAACUUCGUGCCAGCAGCCGCGGUAAUACGAAGGGGGCGAGCGUUAUUCGGAAUUAUUGGGCGUAAAGGGCUCGCAGGCUGCUUGAACAGUUAGACGUGAAAUCCCCGGGCUUAACCUGGGAACUGCGUUUAAUACUAGCAAGCUAGAGAAAUAGAGAGGAAAGUGGAACUCCCAGUGUAGAGGUGAAAUUCGUAGAUAUUGGGAAGAACACCAGUGGCGAAAGCGACUUUCUGGCUAUUUUCUGAC
Molecule: ribosomal RNA, 663 nt
Filed under: uncultured Alphaproteobacteria bacterium
Lineage: Bacteria; Pseudomonadati; Pseudomonadota; Alphaproteobacteria
Description: bacterial SSU rRNA
Rfam family: Bacterial small subunit ribosomal RNA
Source: RNAcentral